CACGUAGGGUGCGAGCGUUGUCCGGAAUUAUUGGGCGUAAAGGGCUCGUAGGCGGUUUGUCGCGUCGGGAGUGAAAACACCGGGCUUAACUCGGUGCUUGCUUUCGAUACGGGCAGACUAGAGGCAUGCAGGGGAGAACGGAAUUCCUGGUGUAGCGGUGAAAUGCGCAGAUAUCAGGAGGAACACCGGUGGCGAAGGCGGUUCUCUGGGCAUGUCCUGACGCUGGAGGAGCGAAAGCGUGGGGAGCGAACAGG
This 254-nucleotide ribosomal RNA is filed under the name uncultured bacterium. Its description in RNAcentral is "partial 16S ribosomal RNA". It matches the Rfam family "Bacterial small subunit ribosomal RNA", at positions 524 to 776 of the family's 1533-position model. The record is from RNAcentral.